UAUAGAUUUCGAAAGUAUCCUUAAUUAUUAUUGUUUUUUAAUAGAUUGGCGUUUAGUAAAUCACCGCGUUUGCAGUUAGAAAGGGUUUUGACCAAAUGAGUCUCUUCUUUUUUCUUUUUUGUCAUCACCAAAUGAGUCUCUUCUCUCAACGUGAUUUGACUAAUGAAGCACGAGUUUCUCGUGGUUUUAAUAUUUUAUUAUCCGACGUGUCAUUCUUACUGAAAGUAAAGCUA
This 233-nucleotide long non-coding RNA is filed under the name Capsella rubella. Its description in RNAcentral is "long non-coding RNA (CRUB_LNC004055)". The record is from RNAcentral. Lineage: Eukaryota; Viridiplantae; Streptophyta; Magnoliopsida; Brassicales; Brassicaceae.